GAUGAACGCUAGCGAUAGGCUUAACACAUGCAAGUCGAGGGGCAGCAUGGUCUUAGCUUGCUAAGACUGAUGGCGACCGGCGCACGGGUGCGUAACGCGUAUGCAACUUGCCUCACAGAGGGGGAAACCCGUCGAAAGACGGACUAAUACCGGGUACACCCUAUUUUGGGCAUCCAAGGUAGAGGAAAUGAAAUUCGCUGGGAGAUAGGCAUGCGUCCCAUUAGCUAGUUGGUGAGGUAACGGCUCACCAAGGCGACGAUGGGUAGGGGAACUGAGAGGUUGAACCCCCACACUGGUACUGAGACACGGACCAGACUCCUACGGGAGGCAGCAGUGAGGAAUAUUGGUCAAUGGGCGAGGGCCUGAACCAGCCAAGUCGCGUGAAGGAUGACUGUCUUAUGGAUUGUAAACUUCUUUUGUAGGGGAAUAAAGAGGGGCACGUGUGCCCCAGUGAAUGUACCCUACGAAUAAGCAUCGGCUAGCUCCGUG
This 489-nucleotide ribosomal RNA is filed under the name uncultured bacterium. RNAcentral's name for it is "partial 16S ribosomal RNA". It matches the Rfam family "Bacterial small subunit ribosomal RNA", at positions 28 to 507 of the family's 1533-position model. The record is from RNAcentral.